Molecule: ribosomal RNA, 871 nt
Filed under: uncultured bacterium
Lineage: Bacteria
Description: bacterial SSU rRNA
Rfam family: Bacterial small subunit ribosomal RNA
Source: RNAcentral
UACCAUGCAGUCGAGCGGGGAGAGGUGCUUCGGUACUGAUCCUAGCGGCGGACGGGUGAGUAAUGCUUAGGAAUCUGCCAUUUAGUGGGGGACAACAUUCCGAAAGGAAUGCUAAUACCGCAUACGUCCUACGGGAGAAAGCAGGGGAUCUUCGGACCUUGCGCUAAAUGAUGAGCCUAAGUCGGAUUAGCUAGUUGGUGGGGUAAAGGCCUACCAAGGCGACGAUCUGUAGCGGGUCUGAGAGGAUGAUCCGCCACACUGGGACUGAGACACGGCCCAGACUCCUACGGGAGGCAGCAGUGGGGAAUAUUGGACAAUGGGCGGAAGCCUGAUCCAGCCAUGCCGCGUGUGUGAAGAAGGCCUUUUGGUUGUAAAGCACUUUAAGCGAGGAGGAGGCUACCUAGAUUAAUACUCUGGGAUAGUGGACGUUACUCGCAGAAUAAGCACCGGCUAACUCUGUGCCAGCAGCCGCGGUAAUACAGAGGGUGCGAGCGUUAAUCGGAUUUACUGGGCGUAAAGCGUGCGUAGGCGGCUGAUUAAGUCGGAUGUGAAAUCCCUGAGCUUAACUUGGGAAUUGCAUUCGAUACUGGUCAGCUAGAGUAUGGGAGAGGAUGGUAGAAUUCCAGGUGUAGCGGUGAAAUGCGUAGAGAUCUGGAGGAAUACCGAUGGCGGAGGCAGCCAUCUGGCCUAAUACUGACGCUGAGGUACGAAAGCAUGGGGAGCAAACAGGAUUAGAUACCCUGGUAGUCCAUGCCGUAAACGAUGUCUACUAGCCGUUGGGGCCUUUGAGGCUUUAGUGGCGCAGCUAACGCGAUAAGUAGACCGCCUGGGGAGUACGGUCGCAAGACUAAAACUCAAAUGAAUUGACGGG